GCCGGUAUAGCACAGUGGUCACCGCGCUCCCGUUUUACUUGCAGCAUCCUCUUGACUAAGGAGAAUCAUCUUUGACCAACGCGCUUGAGUAACGAAACGGGAGAGCUUCUGAGUUCAAUUCUCAGUGCUGGCA
This is a non-coding RNA of Neonectria magnoliae, 133 nucleotides long. The record is from the annotation of a GenBank genome assembly. NCBI's taxonomy places the organism in Eukaryota, Fungi, Ascomycota, Sordariomycetes, Hypocreales, Nectriaceae.